AGCAGUGGGGAAUUUUCCCCAACGGGGGACACCCAGAGGGAGGGACUCCGGGUGACCGAAGAAUCCCCUUGGGGUGUAAAGUUUUUUCACUGGGAACGAAAAAAAUGACGGUACCUGCAGAGGAAGCAUCGGCUAACUACGUGCCAGCAGCCGCGGUAAGACGUAGGAUGCGAGCGUUGUUCGGAUUUAUUGGGCGUAAAGAGUUCGUAGGUGGUUUGUCAAGUUUGAUGUUAAAGAUCGGGGCUCAACCCUGGGAAUGCAUUGGAUACUGGCAGACUUGAGUGUGGUAGAGGCUAGUGGAAUUCCCAGUGUAGCGGUGAAAUGCGUAGAUAUUGGGAAGAACACCGGUGGCGUAGGCGGCUUUCUGGCCCAUAACUGACACUGAGGAACGAAAGCCAGGGGAGCGAACGGGAUUAGAUACCCCGGUAGUCCUCGCCGUAAACGAUGAAUACUAGGCGUAUCGGGUAUCGACCCCUUCAGUGCCGCAGCUAACGCGAUAAGUAUUCCGCCUG
RNAcentral lists this ribosomal RNA (512 nucleotides) under uncultured cyanobacterium. RNAcentral's name for it is "bacterial SSU rRNA". It matches the Rfam family "Bacterial small subunit ribosomal RNA", at positions 350 to 875 of the family's 1533-position model. The record is from RNAcentral. Lineage: Bacteria; Bacillati; Cyanobacteriota.